Molecule: ribosomal RNA, 253 nt
Filed under: uncultured bacterium
Lineage: Bacteria
Description: partial 16S ribosomal RNA
Rfam family: Bacterial small subunit ribosomal RNA
Source: RNAcentral
GACGAACCGUGCGAACGUUGUUCGGAAUUACUGGGCGUAAAGGGCGCGUAGGCGGCCUGUUAAGUCGAACGUGAAAUCCCCGGGCUCAACCCGGGAACUGCGUCCGAUACUGGCAGGCUUGAAUCCGGGAGAGGGAUGCGGAAUUCCAGGUGUAGCGGUGAAAUGCGUAGAUAUCUGGAGGAACACCGGUGGCGAAGGCGGCAUCCUGGACCGGCAUUGACGCUGAGGCGCGAAAGCCAGGGGAGCAAACGGG